Molecule: ribosomal RNA, 507 nt
Filed under: uncultured bacterium
Lineage: Bacteria
Description: partial 16S ribosomal RNA
Source: RNAcentral
GGAGUUAGCCGGUGCUUCUUCUGUGAGUGAUGUCCUUCCUGCCGGCUAUUAACCCGCAGGCCUUCUUCCUCACUGAAAGUGCUUUACAACCCGAAGGCCUUCUUCACACACGCGGCAUGGCUGGAUCAGGGUUGCCCCCAUUGUCCAAUAUUCCCCACUGCUGCCUCCCGUAGGAGUCUGGGCCGUGUCUCAGUCCCAGUGUGGCUGAUCAUCCUCUCAGACCAGCUACGGAUCGUCGCCUUGGUGAGACGUUACCUCACCAACCAGCUAAUCCGACAUAGGCUCAUCCGAUAGCGCGAGGCCCGAAGGUCCCCCGCUUUCCCCCGUAGGGCGUAUGCGGUAUUAGCCUGGGUUUCCCCAGGUUAUCCCCCACUACCGGGCAGAUUCCUAUGCAUUACUCACCCGUCCGCCGCUCGCCACCAGGGAGCAAGCUCCCCGUGCUGCCGCUCGACUUGCAUGUGUUAGGCCUGCCGCCACGCGUCAUCUGAGCGAGAUACAACUACUCGA